GACGAACGCUGGCGGCGCGCCUAACACAUGCAGGUCGAACGAGCGAGCGAGAGCUUGCUUUCUCGAGCGAGUGGCGAACGGGUGAGUAACGCGUGAGGAACCUGCCUCAAAGAGGGGGACAACAGUUGGAAACGACUGCUCAUACCGCAUAAGCCCACGGUGCCGCAUGGCACAGAGGGAAAAGGAGCAAUCCGCUUUGAGCUGGCCUCGCGUCCGAUUAGCUAGUUGGGGAGGUAAUGGCCCACCAAGGCGACGAUCGGUAGCCGGACGGAGAGGGUGAACGGCCACAUUGGGGCUGAGACACGACCCAGACGCCUACGGGAGGCAGCAGUGGGGAAUAUUGCACAAUGGGGGAAACCCUGAUGCAGCGACGCCGCGUGGAGGAAGAAGGUCUUCGGAUUGUAAACUCCUGUUGUUGGGGAAGAUAAUGACGGUACCCAACAAGGAAGUGACGGCUAACUACGUA
This 466-nucleotide ribosomal RNA is filed under the name uncultured bacterium. RNAcentral describes it as "partial 16S ribosomal RNA". It matches the Rfam family "Bacterial small subunit ribosomal RNA", at positions 28 to 507 of the family's 1533-position model. The record is from RNAcentral.